RNAcentral lists this ribosomal RNA (254 nucleotides) under uncultured bacterium. Its description in RNAcentral is "partial 16S ribosomal RNA". It matches the Rfam family "Bacterial small subunit ribosomal RNA", at positions 524 to 776 of the family's 1533-position model. The record is from RNAcentral.
UACGUAGGGUGCAAGCGUUGUCCGGAAUUAUUGGGCGUAAAGAGCUCGUAGGCGGUUUGUCGCGUCGGAUGUGAAAUCUCCACGCUCAACGUGGAGGGGCCAUUCGAAACUGUCGUGACUUGAGUCCGGUAGGGGAGUGUGGAAUUCCCGGUGUAGCGGUGAAAUGCGCAGAGAUCGGGAGGAACACCCGUAGCGAAGGCGGCACUCUGGGCCGUGACUGACGCUGAGGAGCGAAAGCGUGGGGAGCAAACAGG